Molecule: long non-coding RNA, 1328 nt
Organism: Aethina tumida (small hive beetle)
Lineage: Eukaryota; Metazoa; Arthropoda; Insecta; Coleoptera; Nitidulidae
Exons: 2
Source: RefSeq, a predicted model, not a curated record
AGGUAAGGAGAGGUAUUAAGUGGUCUAGGUCUUGAGUGGAAGACUAGAAAUUUUGUAGAAAAGUAAAUGCUUCGCGCGCGCGGAGUGACCCCAUCUUGGUGGAUCCAGGGGUUUCCAGAUGUACCUGCAGUUGUUGGAUUAUCCGUGAAGACAUAGUCUGAAUGAGCAGAAAAUGUGACUUCUUUGUUUUGCAGUGGGUGACGUGUCCUGGCAGUCACAAUACGGAAUUGAUGUUUUGGUGAGAGGUUGAUAUGCAACUCUUUGUAUUUGUGUAGUCGUCGUACUACGGUGAUCCAUCACGUGGCACAACUGAGUUUUUAGCGUAGGUGUAGUUGUAUGUGUAGAUGUACACAUGUGGUGCAAGUGUGAGAGUAAAAGUGGUUACUCAUGAAUUGAUGAAAUGAAAGUAGACAAAGUAGCAGGAAAAGUUGUAGAGUUUACAGGUACCCAUUAGUAAGUUGGGUUGAGGUAUAAUGAAAAGGACUUAAAGGAAGUCGAAUAGCAGCCUACGCAGAGCACCGGAUUUACGAAAUAUGUGGAAAUAUGUGGAAAGAUAUGAUGUUUUGGAGAAAUUGCUGAAGUUAGAGUCGAAAUGAGACGAGUUAUUUUGCCAAGUUUUUCUUAAAUGUUGAAAAAAUCAUCAGUGUCGAGAUGACGGAUCUAUCAACAUCAAUGAUCCAGGAUCUCAAGGAUUUUUCAAGAGGACUUCCAAUUAGACACAACAACACGAUGAAUACGAUAAACGAAGUUUACAAAUCUUGAUACCACGAGAGGAAAAAGAAGAAAUUUCUCUGGACAGUUAUUUCAUGAGGGUCCCAGGCAGACAGAAGAAAAGGAAUAUUUAGAUUUCUUUAUUUCCAAGAAGUUGUUUACGACUUGUGGUUGCUGCUACACCACAUUUUGUAAUUUGAAGCCUGCAGUAUAAGUGGUUACCAACUACUUAUCCAAGAGUAUCGUUGAGGACGAACGAUCAAGGACCAAGGAGCCUAUGAUUAAGGAUGAGAAACGAAGGACGAAGAAGCGGAUGUCCAGGAACCAAUCACCAGGGGCCAAGUACCGGGUCAACGACUGAACGAGUCUACAGAAAAAUGAUAACCAGAGCAUUGGAAGAGGAAAGGAUUUCUUUGUAUAAUUAUUAUUGCACAAACAUCAGCAAUAAUGAGGAGCAACAACCAGAAUCAGCUACCAGGACCUUAAGAGGAACGAUUCACCAAGGACCAUCAACUAACGAAAUAAAUCCUAGCUGUCUAGAUUUUGAAUGAUAUUUUGUUGGUCAAUGUUAUGUGUUCUUAGGUCAUGUAAUUGAAAUUAUAAUGUUUUGAAUUGUA